Molecule: ribosomal RNA, 274 nt
Filed under: uncultured bacterium
Lineage: Bacteria
Description: partial 16S ribosomal RNA
Rfam family: Bacterial small subunit ribosomal RNA
Source: RNAcentral
AUACGGAGGGUGCAAGCGUUAAUCGGAAUUACUGGGCGUAAAGAGUACGUAGGUGGUUUGUUAAGUCAGAUGUGAAAGCCCCGGGCUCAACCUGGGAGCUGCAUUUGAAACUGGCAAGCUAGAGUAUGGUAGAGGGGGGUAGAAUUUCUAGUGUAGCGGUGAAAUGCGUAGAUAUUAGAAGGAAUACCAGUGGCGAAGGCGGCCCCCUGGACCAAUACUGACACUGAGGUACGAAAGCGUGGGUAGCGAACAGGAUUAGAAACCCUAGUAGUCC